This 614-nucleotide ribosomal RNA is filed under the name Debaryomyces psychrophilus. RNAcentral describes it as "eukaryotic LSU rRNA". It matches the Rfam family "Eukaryotic large subunit ribosomal RNA", at positions 38 to 667 of the family's 3401-position model. The record is from RNAcentral. Lineage: Eukaryota; Fungi; Ascomycota; Pichiomycetes; Serinales; Debaryomycetaceae.
GCAUAUCAAUAAGCGGAGGAAAAGAAACCAACAGGGAUUGCCUUAGUAACGGCGAGUGAAGCGGCAAAAGCUCAAAUUUGAAAUCUGGCGCCUUCGGUGUCCGAGUUGUAAUUUGAAGAAGGUAACUUUGGAGUUGGCUCUUGUCUAUGUUCCUUGGAACAGGACGUCACAGAGGGUGAGAAUCCCGUGCGAUGAGAUGCCCAACUCCAUGUAAAGUGCUUUCGAAGAGUCGAGUUGUUUGGGAAUGCAGCUCUAAGUGGGUGGUAAAUUCCAUCUAAAGCUAAAUAUUGGCGAGAGACCGAUAGCGAACAAGUACAGUGAUGGAAAGAUGAAAAGAACUUUGAAAAGAGAGUGAAAAAGUACGUGAAAUUGUUGAAAGGGAAGGGCUUGAGAUCAGACUUGGUAUUUUGCGAUCCCUUCCUUCUUGGUUGGGUUCCUCGCAGCUUACUGGGCCAGCAUCGGUUUGGAUGGUAGGAUAAUGAUUAAGGAAUGUGGCUCUACUUCGGUGGAGUGUUAUAGCCUUGGUUGAUACUGCCUGUCUAGACCGAGGACUGCGUCUUUUGACUAGGAUGCUGGCAUAAUGAUCUUAAGCCACCCGUCUUGAAACACGGACC